GGAGCCGGUGCUCACGCCGGACGACGGCGGAAGAUGGCGGCGGCGAUGCUGGACCAAACCGAGCCCGCACGGGUCAGGGCGGACGCAGGAUGGAGGAGCGGCGGCCGGCGGUCCACGGGGAUGGCCGGGAUGGCGAGCAGCAGCGAGCGGGAGGUCGUCGGAGGCCGUGGGAAGACGCGCGGUUGGCGGGGAAUGGUGGUGGCGCGCGGAGGCAGGGAUCAUCCAAGCU
This 229-nucleotide long non-coding RNA is filed under the name Ananas comosus (pineapple). Its description in RNAcentral is "long non-coding RNA (ACOM_LNC030631)". Lineage: Eukaryota; Viridiplantae; Streptophyta; Magnoliopsida; Poales; Bromeliaceae. The record is from RNAcentral.